Molecule: long non-coding RNA, 2583 nt
Organism: Cyprinus carpio carpio
Lineage: Eukaryota; Metazoa; Chordata; Actinopteri; Cypriniformes; Cyprinidae
Source: Ensembl
AUCUGAAUCUGAAUAAUAUGUGAGUUACACAAUAUAAAAAACAAGCAUAAUAUAGUAUUUUCACUUCACUACCCUUGAGGAUAGGGCACUCAUGGGUAAGCUUAUCCAAUUUAAAUCCACUUAUUAGUGCUGCACACACACACGCAUUAGACUCUAUUAUUCAGGCUGAGUGUCUGGACAAAAAGAUCAAUCAGGUUCAAUGGAUCAACAUGAUGAACCUCAUCACUCCAUACUUUCAUCUCUCUGUCUCUCCCCUCCUUUUAUCCUCCAACUCUGCAUUUUCUCAUGCUGUCCAUCUUUAUUUUGUUCACUCUUAAUGCUCUUUAUUGUCUACAUCCUCCUCAAUUCUUUCCAGCCGUCUCUCCCUCUUGCUUGACCUUUUCUGUGGUGUUUUAAUGGCAGCUUAGAAUACGUCUGGCCAUGUGGGCACAGAGAUAGAGAACAAACACACACACACACACACACACACACAAUGAUAAAACCUUUGUCCAUGAUUACUCCUGAAGAGACUUUUGUUGUGUCAGAUAAACUAAUCCAGAUUGGAUCACAAAAGAGCAUGUAUUAUGAUUCCAGAGCUUUCACUGGAAGAUUCUCAGGCAUUUCAUUCCAGCUCAUAUAGAUGAUAAUUGUGUGUGUGUUGUGUGUAAAUGUGUGUAAUGGUGUGAUUCUUUACCCCUACCCGGCCAUUUCUCAGCAUGAGUGUUUCAAUAUGGCAGGCCCUCAGUGCAGUACGUGUGUGUGUGUGUGUGUGUAUCAGUGUUUGUGUGUAUAAUUGGGGUAAUUUCUUUAUUACACUAAUAAAUCACUCAGUAAACGGCAUGUCUAAAAUGUCACUGUUUAGUGUCUAUUUGUCCAGCACUUCCCCCUUCUCUUUCACUCUGUCUUCACUCCUCCUCUCUCCACCUGUGAACAGCACUCACAACUGUUCCUCAAAGUCAGUGACUCUCAAGCAGAGGGUAAUCAUCUACAUCAACUCCUUCACUGAGAUAAAGUUUGUGAGAUUAACCCUUCAAGGGCAGAAGGAGCAGAUAAACAGAGGUAUCUGUAUGUGUGCACUUUCUGCUUUAUCUUGCAACUGGUUUAUCUGAUUUACAGCUCAAAAUAAGUCAUUGUUGGAUAUAUUUAGCUGUCACUUGAGGUUUUUGGAGUUAUUUGCUGAAAUGUGCCUGCAAUGGAGGUAUUUGAAAUCUCUAAAUAUCCAUUCUAAAGUUAUCUCAGAAGAAUGUGCAGAAUUUUGAAAAACCUCCAUGUUUUUGUUUUUUUGUUUUGUUUUUUUCUCUUCAUAGUGUCUGUGUAGGAAUGGCAGUGUGAAGAGAAAACAAGAGAGAACAAGACAAAAACAGUUUGCACAUCUGUGAUUGAAUGGCAAGACGAACUGUGCACCCAAACUGUGUGUAUUUCAUUUUAUUCUGCCUGAAAGAAAAAGAACAUUCCUAAGAUACUCUGUCUCUCUCUCUUUCAAGCAGUGUCUGUUUUAUGAGGUGAGACCUUAUAGAUGGGGUGAGCAGGCAAAUGCCAAAUCAGAAGAAGAGAGUAUGAAGGAGAAAAAGAAACUCCAUUUAUAUUCAAGGAGGAAGAGAGAAGCAGAUAAUUCUAGGCACACAUCCUUGGCAAAGGAAACAGACAGGAACAUCUUAAAAUGAGCAAGCGAGAAUGAAGAGCAUCAUAUCUGCAUGUCUUCUCUCCAGUUAUAGAGGGUGGAACAUAAUCAGUUGAUAAAGACUUUUAGCUUUUUUCGUCCCCUGCGUGUGUUGCAAUUCUGUGCCUCAGUCACUGAACUUUGUUGCAGCAGAUAUUCUGAGACUGAACUUUUAGAAUUCAGAAUCAGCACUGCCAAAAAAUUGCUGUUAGAAAAUAAGAACAAACCCGCAAACGAAACAAAGUACAUUAAUAUUCCGUAUGUGUAAAUGUUGUUAUAUUGUUCAUACACUCUGGAAACAUUUCUUAACAUUGUGUGGCAUAAUUUAUUUAAAAAAUGUUAAACAUUUACUAGAUAUACUAGGAAAAUACUAGAAUUAAAAUUACCAUUCAAAAGUUUUUUUAAUGUUAUGCUCACCAUGGCUGAAUUUAUUUGAUCAAAACACAGUAAAAGUAUUGUUACAAUUUAAAAUAAAUCUUCUCUAUUUAAGUAUUCAAAAUGUAUAAAAUAUAUUUUAACAUGUAAUGUAUUCCUGUGAUGGAAAAGUUGCUAUUUGUUGAUCCAGUGCUCAGGAAACAUUUCUUUUUAUAAUCAAUGUUGAAGACAGUUAUGCUGCAUAAUAAUUUUGCAAUAGCAAAGUAAAAAAAAAAAAAAAACAGCAUUCAUUUGAAACAGAAAUCUUUUGUAACAUUAUGAAUGUCUUUUUAUCCAUUUAAAGUGUCCUUCAUGACUAAGGUAUUACUUUCUUUAAUACUAUUAUAAUAUUUAAUGACUUAUAUAAAAUACUUUUAUGUAACAUAUAGGACCUAUAUUUUUGCAGUAUGAUUAUAAGCGACUUUGGUGGUUUAUGUUACAUUGAGGUUAAAGAAUAUCCCAAUGCCCCGAGUGAUGUGACUGCUCAGCCCACCCUCCCUAUGAAAACACAUUCAUCUCUAAAAUCAAAC